Molecule: ribosomal RNA, 484 nt
Filed under: uncultured bacterium
Lineage: Bacteria
Description: partial 16S ribosomal RNA
Rfam family: Bacterial small subunit ribosomal RNA
Source: RNAcentral
AUUGAACGCUGGCGGCAGGCCUAACACAUGCAAGUCGAGCGGAUGAAGGGAGCUUGCUCCUGGAUUCAGCGGCGGACGGGCGAGUAAUGCCUAGGAAUCUGCCUGGUAGUGGGGGAUAACGUCCGGAAACGGGCGCUAAUACCGCAUACGUCCUGAUGGAGAAAGUGGGGGAUCUUCGGACCUCACGCUAUCAGAUGAGCCUAGGUCGGAUUAGCUAGUUGGUGGGGUAAAGGCCUACCAAGGCGACGAUCCGUAACUGGUCUGAGAGGAUGAUCAGUCACACUGGAACUGAGACACGGUCCAGACUCCUACGGGAGGCAGCAGUGGGGAAUAUUGGACAAUGGGCGAAAGCCUGAUCCAGCCAUGCCGCGUGUGUGAAGAAGGUCUUCGGAUUGUAAAGCACUUUAAGUUGGGAGGAAGGGAAGUAAGUUAAUACCUUGCUGUUUUGACGUUACCAACAGAAUAAGCACCGGCUAACUUCGUG